Molecule: long non-coding RNA, 246 nt
Organism: Pieris brassicae (large cabbage white)
Lineage: Eukaryota; Metazoa; Arthropoda; Insecta; Lepidoptera; Pieridae
Exons: 2
Source: RefSeq, a predicted model, not a curated record
UGUUUCAACCGCAAUCUUGCUAGUAUCGUUAAAAUGCCUUUUGGAUUUAUAAUAGUCACGGGAAUCCUUGCGUUUGGCGCCUAUUGGACGACAAAAUAUUUAUUAAGCAUGACCGACAACAACGCAUCCACAACUCAUAAUCCAUUAACAACUACCAUUGUCCCGAAAUUAUGAUGAUUUAUUUUAUUGAAUUCACACGCUUGUAUAUAGUUUAAGUUUUAGAAUCAAAUAAAUGAUUUAAGGAUA